RNAcentral lists this ribosomal RNA (496 nucleotides) under uncultured bacterium. RNAcentral's name for it is "partial 16S ribosomal RNA". It matches the Rfam family "Bacterial small subunit ribosomal RNA", at positions 29 to 507 of the family's 1533-position model. The record is from RNAcentral.
AUGAACGCUGGCGGCGUGCCUAAUACAUGCAAGUCGAGCGAACAGACGAGGAGCUUGCUCCUCUGACGUUAGCGGCGGCCGGGUGAGUAACACGUGGAUAACCUACCUAUAAGACUGGGAUAACUUCGGGAAACCGGAGCUAAUACCGGAUAAUAUAUUGAACCGCAUGGUUCAAUAGUGAAAUACGGUUUUGCUGUCACUUAUAGAUGGAUCCGCGCCGCAUUAGCUAGUUGGUAAGGUAACGGCUUACCAAGGCAACGAUGCGUAGCCGACCUGAGAGGGUGAUCGGCCACACUGGAACUGAGACACGGUCCAGACUCCUACGGGAGGCAGCAGUAGGGAAUCUUCCGCAAUGGGCGAAAGCCUGACGGAGCAACGCCGCGUGAGUGAUGAAGGUCUUCGGAUCGUAAAACUCUGUUAUUAGGGAAGAACAAAUGUGUAAGUAACUAUGCACGUCUUGACGGUACCUAAUCAGAAAGCCACGGCUAACUACGUG